Molecule: long non-coding RNA, 473 nt
Organism: Ananas comosus (pineapple)
Lineage: Eukaryota; Viridiplantae; Streptophyta; Magnoliopsida; Poales; Bromeliaceae
Exons: 2
Source: RefSeq, a predicted model, not a curated record
GAUCUUGUCAAAGUACUACCUUCGCCUCGAUAUUUUUGAAUAUGCUCUGUUUUAUGCGAGUAGGUGAAUUAAUGACCCUGGUUGUUUAAGAUACUUCGUAGGGCCCUGCGAAAAUUUAAAGAGCCCCGAACUUCUUUAGCCUGUGUGACCGUGGAGCUCUAUCCCUCGCAGAGUUACAGCUCUCUACGAGUGUCAUUCUUAUUUAUCUUAGACACAAUAAAGUUUGUUUACCGAAGCUAGGGUGCAUUUAUGGUUGCAAGGACAAGACUGGAAAUAUGAUAUCAGAGUUCAUCCGGGGGGAAUACAAGGGCUGUAGUAUUCAUGGGCCAAGACAAGAUGAACCGUUUCUGUAUAUUGCGAGUUUUUAGGGAGUUGUCUUUUUUCAAGAAAACAACAGCAUGCUACCUACUUUAUUUUGUUUUUUUAAUGAACUCAGGUAAAAAUUUGAAACAAUUAAGUUUUAAACUUAAAAA